UGGGGAAUAUUGCACAAUGGGCGAAAGCCUGAUGCAGCGACGCCGCGUGAGGGAUGACGGCCUUCGGGUUGUAAACCUCUUUCAGCAGGGACGAAGCGCAAGUGACGGUACCUGCAGAAGAAGCACCGGCUAACUACGUGCCAGCAGCCGCGGUAAUACGUAGGGUGCAAGCGUUGUCCGGAAUUACUGGGCGUAAAGAGUUCGUAGGCGGUUUGUCGCGUCGUUUGUGAAAGCCAGCAGCUCAACUGCUGGCUUGCAGGCGAUACGGGCAGACUUGAGUACUGCAGGGGAGACUGGAAUUCCUGGUGUAGCGGUGAAAUGCGCAGAUAUCAGGAGGAACACCGGUGGCGAAGGCGGGUCUCUGGGCAGUAACUGACGCUGAGGAACGAAAGCGUGGGUAGCGAACAGG
RNAcentral lists this ribosomal RNA (409 nucleotides) under Pseudomonas sp. RNAcentral's name for it is "partial 16S ribosomal RNA". It matches the Rfam family "Bacterial small subunit ribosomal RNA", at positions 355 to 776 of the family's 1533-position model. The record is from RNAcentral. RNAcentral also lists the same sequence under 1 other name. Lineage: Bacteria; Pseudomonadati; Pseudomonadota; Gammaproteobacteria; Pseudomonadales; Pseudomonadaceae.